UUUCUAGUGAAGGAGAUGAUGCUGCCAUUUAUCCAAGGCCUCGGCUGCAGUCGUGAUCCUUAGACUUACACAUAGAACAAAUUGAUGGUGCUUAAUUGCUCUUUUUUUUUUUGGGGUCUUGGUGCUUAAUUGCUUAUCAAGGGAAUUGGUAAGUGAUAACAUAAGGCCCAUGAACAUCACCUCUAGAUGGAGUACAUGACGAGGAAGUGACUCAGCAUCAUAUAUGAUUGAUGAUUGAAUCAAGAAAUAAAGGCGAAAGAAGGCGACACAGCAAUCACUUGCUUUGUAGGGACAAAUAAUCACUUCUCAGUUCUCACAAAACAAAAAAAACUGCGCAAAAGUUUCAGGUGCUGCAAUGGCGAAUCGCCAAGUUGUCGGGUUCGUUGGGUUGGACGAUUUGAGCUUGCUGAUGGCGUCUUCGCUUAUUCGCCAUGGCUAUGCAGUUCAAGCUUUUGAGAUAAGUGAUUCCAGCAUAGAUGAACUUAUGAAGCUUGGAGGACGCAGAUGUUCAAGCCCUUUGGAAGUGGGAAGAGAUGUUACAGCUUUAGUGGUCCUAAUAUGCCAUGCGGAUCAAACUAAAGAUCUAAUUUUUGGAGAAGAGGGUGUUUUGAAAGGUCUAAAAUCGGAUACAGUUCUAAUCCUCCGUUCAACCAUAUCACCAUCAGUUCUCCAAAAGUUGGAGAAGGAACUGGCAGAAAUUCAUGAGAUAAAUUACAUUGUUGAUGCAUACGUCUCUCUUGGGAGGUCUGAUGCUUUCAAUGGAAAAAUCACUAUUGCAUCAUCAGGAAGACCGGAUGCCAUUGCAAAGGCUCGGCCUGUGCUUUCUGCAAUGUGUGAAAAGCUUUUCACUUUUGAGGGUGAAAUUGGUGGUGGCAGUAAGGUUAAAAUGGUUACUGAGUUGCUUGAGGGAAUUCACUUCAUUGCUUCAGUGGAGGCUCUCUCUCUUGGUGCCAAAGCUGGAAUUCACCCAUGGAUAAUCUAUGAUAUCAUUUCCAACGCUGCUGGAAAUUCAUGGGUUUUCAAGAAUAAUGUUCCUCUUUUGUUAAAGGGAGAGAUUAAGCAUCAAAUUCUAAACACUAUUGUUAAGGACUUGGAAAUCAUUUUGGAUAUGGCCAAGUCACUUACUUUUCCACUUCCACUUUUGGCUACCACUCAUCAACAACUUAUUCAUGGGAUCUCAAAUGUUUCUUGUGGAGAAGAUGAUAGUACAUCAUUAAUUAAGGUUUGGGAGAAAAUUUAUGGAGUAAAAGUUUCAGAUGCUGCAAAUGAAGAUUUAUAUAGCCCUGAACAAUUGGCAUCGGAAAUCACUUCGGAUUCUAAGAGUGGGAGAAGAGUUGGUUUUGUAGGCCUUGGAGCAAUGGGAUUUGGCAUGGCAACUCAUUUGGUGAAUUCAAAAUUCAGCGUCAAUGGUUUUGAUGUGUAUAAACCAACUCUAACACGAUUUGCAAAUGCUGGUGGCUUUAUUGGGAACUCUCCAGCUGAAGUGAGUAAAGAUGUUGAUGUUCUCAUAAUCAUGGUUGCAAACGAAGCACAAGCAGAAAAUGUAUUGUAUGGAGAAUCUGGUGCAGUUUCAGCUCUUUCACCGGGAGCAUCUAUAAUUCUUUCUUCUACUGUUUCUCCGGCAUAUGUGAGUCAGCUAGAGCGUAGAUUGCAUAAUGAGGGUAAAAGUUUGAAGUUAGUGGAUGCCCCUGUUUCUGGUGGAGUUAAGAGGGCCUCAAUGGGAACACUUACGAUAAUGGCUUCGGGAUCCGAUGAUGCUCUUAAGAGUGUUGGUUUAGUCUUAGCAGCCUUAAGUGAGAAGCUUUACAUUAUUAAAGGUGGCUGUGGUGCUGGAAGUGGUAUAAAGAUGGUUAAUCAAUUGCUUGCUGGAGUUCACAUAGCAUCAGCUGCUGAGGCAAUGGCAUUUGCAGCAAGACUGGGUCUGAAUACAAGACUGUUGUUUGAUUUUAUUACAAUUAGUGGGGGUACUUCCUGGAUGCUUGAAAAUCGUGUCCCACACAUGCUAGAUAAUGAUUACACACCAUAUUCAGCACUUGAUAUCUUUGUGAAGGACAUGGGAAUCGUUACUCGUGAAUCAGCUUCUUUGAAAGUUCCACUUCAACUAUCAACUAUUGCUCAUCAACUGUAUCUGUCAGGUUCUGCUGCUGGUUGGGGACGGCAAGAUGAUGCUGGUGUGGUUAAGGUUUAUGAGACACUAACCGGUGUCAGAGUUGAAGGGAAACUCCAGGUUCUGAGGAAAGACACUGUGUUGCAUUCUCUUCCAUCUGAGUGGCCUCAAGAUCCUCUCCUUGACAUACAAAAACUCACUGAAAGAAGUUCCAAGAUUUUGGUAGUUCUUGAUGAUGAUCCAACAGGAACACAAACUGUUCAUGAUAUAGAGGUAUUAACAGAAUGGAGUAUUGAAUCACUGACUGGGCAGUUUAGAAAAGGUCCAAAGUGCUUUUUCAUUUUGACAAACUCCAGGUCACUGAGUUCUGAGAAGGCCAGUGCACUGAUAACAGAGAUAUGCAGAAAUCUAGACACUGCAGCAAAAACAGUUGACAACAUUGAUUAUACAAUUGUUUUGAGGGGAGACUCAACUUUGCGUGGCCAUUUUCCUGAGGAAGCAGAUGCUGCUGUUUCGGUGUUAGGUGAAAUGGAUGCGUGGAUAAUUUGUCCCUUUUUCCUUCAAGGAGGCCGCUACACUAUCAAUGACGUACACUAUGUUGCUGAUUCUGAUACGCUUGUUCCUGCAGGGGACACAGAGUUUGCUAAAGAUGCUGCCUUUGGCUACAAAUCUUCGAAUCUGCGUGAUUGGGUAGAAGAGAAGACUGGUGGUCGAAUACCUGCAUCCACUGUUGCAUCUGUUUCCAUUGAACUUUUGAGGAAAGGAGGACCAGAUGCAGUUUGCCAGCAUCUAUGCAGUCUGAAAAAGGGUUCAGCAUGUGUAGUUAAUGCAGCUAGUGAAAGAGACAUGGCUGUAUUUGCACUUGGAAUGACCAAGGCAGAAUUGAUGGGAAAACACUUCUUAUGUCGUACUGCUGCUAGUUUUGUUUCUUCCCGAAUUGGAAUUAUCUCGAGGCCCCCAAUAUUGCCAAAGGAUCUAGGAAUUACUAGAGAAAGGAAUGGUGGUUUGAUAGUUGUGGGAUCAUAUGUUCCAAAAACAACAAAGCAGGUUGAAGAACUUAAAUUACAGUGUGGUCAGUUCUUGAAAAGCAUUGAGGUCUCAGUUGAAAAACUUGCAAUGAGGCCUGUCGAGGAGCGGGAGGAGGAAGUCAGUCGAGCAGCUGAAUUAGCAGAUGCAUACCUUAAAGCUCAUAAAGACACCCUUAUAAUGACCAGCCGGAAUCUCAUAACUGGAAAAACUGCGUCUGAAAGUUUGAACAUUAAUUUUAAAGUGAGCUCUGCUUUGGUGGAAAUAGUGAAAAGAAUAACUACAAAACCUCGCUAUAUACUUGCAAAGGGUGGUAUUACUUCUUCAGACCUUGCUACAAAAGCCCUUGGUGCUAGAUGUGCCAAGAUAGUUGGACAAGCACUUGCUGGAAUUCCCUUGUGGCAAUUAGGACCAGAAAGUAGGCAUCCAGGAGUUCCAUACAUUGUCUUUCCUGGCAAUGUUGGUGAUAGCAGAGCUUUGGCUGAAGUAGUCAAGUCCUGGACUCAUCGAAUCAGACUUACAUCAACAAAGGAGAUUCUUAGCAAUGCUGAAAAGGGAGGGUAUGCUGUUGGAGCAUUUAAUGUCUACAAUUUGGAAGGAGUUGAGGCUGUUAUUUCUGCAGCAGAGGAAGAACAAAGUCCUGCUAUAUUACAGAUCCAUCCUGGUGCCUUGAAGCAAGGAGGAAUUCCCUUGGUUGCUUGUUGCAUUUCUGCUGCAGAGCAAGCCAGUGUCCCGAUUACUGUUCACUUUGAUCAUGGAACUUCAAAGCAAGAUCUUGUGGAAGCUCUUGAUCUGGGAUUCAAUUCUGUGAUGGUAGAUGGUUCACAUCUUUCCUUCAAUGAAAACACUGCAUACACAAAAUUUAUAUCACUGCUGGCACACUCGAAAGGGAUAUUGGUUGAAGCUGAGCUAGGAAGGUUGUCUGGGACGGAAGAUGAUUUGACUGUGGAAGAAUAUGAAGCAAAGCUAACAGAUGUUAAGAUGGCAGAAAAAUUCAUCGAUGAGACCAGCAUAGAUGCUUUGGCAGUGUGUAUUGGAAAUGUGCAUGGAAAAUACCCUGCAAGUGGUCCAAAUCUCAAAUUUGAUUUACUGAAGGAACUGCAUGCAUUGAGCUUGAAGAAAGGAGUUUUCCUGGUGCUUCAUGGAGCAUCUGGCUUAUCCGAAGAACUUGUUAAGGAAUGCAUAAACCUUGGUGUUAGGAAGUUCAAUGUUAAUACUGAAGUAAGGAAGGCCUACAUGGAUUCCCUCAAUACUCCACAGAAAGAUCUAGUUCAUGUUAUGGCCUCUGCAAAGGAAGCCAUGAAAGCUGUGGUUGCAGAAAAGAUGCAUCUCUUUGGUUCAGCAGGAAAGGCAUGAUUUCUGCAUGUUUGCAAGCCGAAGUAGCUAGGAUUCCAUUGCAGAUUAUCAAUCAUUAUAUAUACAGGUGAGUGGACGUUGCAAGUAUGGCAGGCCCAAUGCGCAGGUUAUUAUGUGCUGAUUUUGCAUGUAUGAAGCAUGAUGGACACGUGUCGAGAUCAGGCACAACACACACCCUGCGUGUUAGACACGUGGUGAGCAACGAAAGCAACACGCAUACUGCGUGUUGGACACGUAACCGCUGCUGAUUCAAUGUGAUACCAACACGUAACCUGCGAGAGCAGCCAUAUCCCCUGCAUGCAAACACUGAAAAGUUGUGCAGAUUCUUUGGAAAAGAAAAGGAAUCUCUGCACCACCUGUUGCAGCACGUGGCCUCCAUGUUAAGGUUGGCUCGACAUGUAUUCUGCUUUGCUGAAAAAGCUGCUUCUACCAUAGGCAACCUGUUACUUGUGUGUUGAUGGGAGCCACAUAGUGGGAAAGAAGGGGUAAUGAUCCCCUAAUUUUAAUUUUUUAUACGUAAAUUAUAUGUAAAUUUUAAUUUAGUCUUUUUUAAAAUUUUAUUUUAAUUUUAUUUUAUUAUGUAAAUAUUUUUAACCCUUUUUAAUAUUUCAUCUAACUCCACUCUUAGAUGAGGGCUUGCCACAUGUCCCUCUUUUCUACAAAAGUUGGUUCAAGUUAAAGCAACACAUAACUUGUAUGUUGAGUGAGACAAUGUUGUAGUUUUAUAUUGUGGCAUAACACAUUGAUGAAGUAUA
This is an RNA transcript of Arachis stenosperma, 5244 nucleotides long. RefSeq lists it as uncharacterized. NCBI's taxonomy places the organism in Eukaryota, Viridiplantae, Streptophyta, Magnoliopsida, Fabales, Fabaceae. The transcript is spliced from 47 exons. The record is from RefSeq and is a predicted model, not a curated record.